GCCGAGCAUGGUGGUGCACGCCUUUAAUCCCAGCACUUGGGAGGCAGAGGCAGGUGGAUCUCUGUGCGUUCAAGGCCAGCCUGGUCUACAUAGUGAGUUCCAGGACAGCUGGGGCUACAAGGAGACCCUGCUUCAAAAAGACAAAAAAAAAAAAAAAGAGUUCUGGAGACAGUCUAAUUUUGUAGCCCUGGCUAGGCUAGAGCUCGCUAUAUAGAUCAGGCUGGCCUUGAACUCACAGAGAUCCACCUGCCUCU
This 254-nucleotide small RNA is filed under the name Nannospalax galili (Upper Galilee mountains blind mole rat). Its description in RNAcentral is "Metazoan signal recognition particle RNA (ENSNGAG00000002980.1)". The record is from RNAcentral. Lineage: Eukaryota; Metazoa; Chordata; Mammalia; Rodentia; Spalacidae.